GGGGAUGUGGUCUAGUGGUAUGAUGUCUGCUUCGCAUGCGGAAGGUUCCGGGUUCGAUUCCCGGCAUCUCCA
Octopus sinensis (East Asian common octopus) is the source of this 72-nucleotide non-coding RNA. Lineage: Eukaryota; Metazoa; Mollusca; Cephalopoda; Octopoda; Octopodidae. The record is from the annotation of a RefSeq genome assembly.